Molecule: ribosomal RNA, 236 nt
Filed under: uncultured bacterium
Lineage: Bacteria
Description: partial small subunit ribosomal RNA
Rfam family: Bacterial small subunit ribosomal RNA
Source: RNAcentral
AGAACGAACGCUGGCGGCAGGCUUAACACAUGCAAGUCGAACGCGUGUAGCAAUACACGAGUGGCGCACGGGUGAGUAACGCGUGGAUAUCUGCCUUUUGGUUCGGAAUAACCCCGGGAAACUGGGGCUAAUACCGGAUGGUUCCUACGGGAUAAAGAUUUAUCGCCAAAAGAUGAGUCCGCGUACGAUUAGCUAGUUGGUGAGGUAACGGCCUACCAAGGCGACGACGGGUAGCC